Molecule: ribosomal RNA, 253 nt
Filed under: uncultured bacterium
Lineage: Bacteria
Description: partial 16S ribosomal RNA
Rfam family: Bacterial small subunit ribosomal RNA
Source: RNAcentral
UACGUAGGGUGCAGGCGUUAAUCGGAAUUACUGGGCGUAAAGCGUGCGCAGGCGGUUUGCUAAGACAGGCGUGAAAUCCCCGGGCUUAACCUGGGAAUUGCGCUUGUUACUGGCAAGCUGGAGUGUGGCAGAGGGAGGUGGAAUUCCACGUGUAGCAGUGAAAUGCGUAGAGAUGUGGAGGAACACCGAUGGCGAAGGCAGCCCCCUGGGCUAACACUGACGCUCAUGCACGAAAGCGUGGGGAGCAAACAGG